Molecule: long non-coding RNA, 398 nt
Organism: Gorilla gorilla gorilla (western lowland gorilla)
Lineage: Eukaryota; Metazoa; Chordata; Mammalia; Primates; Hominidae
Exons: 3
Source: RefSeq, a predicted model, not a curated record
CUUAUUCAUUUCAUCAAAUAAACAUCUGUAGAGGAUUUAAGUAUGAAGAUUCUCUGAACACAAAAAGAGAUAAGAUACAGAUUUGCCCUUUGGCCUAAUUGAAGAAGCAACAGAAGAAACUGAGAAUUGCACAACUAAUGGAACCCACAUUAGAAAAUCAAGUGUAAUCCAAUCAGGAGGUGAAGAGAGGCUUACGAAAGCAAUGUAUUAGAGAGGAAAGACCAGAGCAAGAUUUUGAAGAGAUAGCUUCUCUGGGACAUGGAGCCUGGAAGAAGAAGCACUGUGCAUAGACUCCAGGGGAAAAUGAAGGAACUGACAAAGGGAGCAUUCACUCUUCUGCAUUGGAGAUUGGAUUUCCUGACAUGAAAUUAUAAACUAAGUAAGAACGCUGAGUACAG